RNAcentral lists this long non-coding RNA (521 nucleotides) under Mytilus galloprovincialis (Mediterranean mussel). The record is from RNAcentral. Lineage: Eukaryota; Metazoa; Mollusca; Bivalvia; Mytilida; Mytilidae.
CUCGUUACUACUACAUGUAUAUGACUUGGCAUCUGAGAGAAGAAGCAAUUUAUAUACCAUUUGAAGUCCCUUUUUGAACACAAAAAAGAUGUUUCCUAGUGUUAAAAAUGGUUGCUUAUAUUGGCAUUACAAAUUGUAAUAAACUUUAGGCACUGCCGCACUGGUCAUUCAUCUUUUGUGUUUGUGUGCAACAUGAGGGGGGAGUUCUUCCUCAUAAUUUCCAAAACAAAAAAUUAAACCCCUAUUAAUUGUUUUCAGAAACAUACAGGAACAGUAUUAUUUUACAAUAAUAAAUGAUGCCAUCUCAAGAUUAAUCAGAAGCAGCAGACAACACCUUAUGUUAUUUCACUUUUGGGAAAAAAUUACUUUCCUUCAGCAAAUUUUUUUUCUUUUAUUCCAUUUCCAAUUCUGAAAAAAAAUAAUUUUCCCUUCCCUUCUAAAACAAAAUAUAUUUUUUUUCUCACUUCUCUUCUUUGACAAUGUUUUUUCUUUUUUUAAAAUGAGAAAGAAAACAAUUUGUU